This 481-nucleotide ribosomal RNA is filed under the name uncultured bacterium. RNAcentral's name for it is "bacterial SSU rRNA". It matches the Rfam family "Bacterial small subunit ribosomal RNA", at positions 28 to 507 of the family's 1533-position model. The record is from RNAcentral.
GAUGAACGCAGCGGCAGGCCUAACACAUGCAAGUCGAGGGGUAACAGGAAAGCUUGCUUUCGCUGACGACCGGCGCACGGGUGCGUAACGCGUAUGCAACUUGCCCUCAACUGGGAGAUAGCCCGGAGAAAUUCGGAUUAAUGCCCCAUAGUAUCACAUCACCGCAUGAUGAUGUGCUUAAAGCUUCGGCGGUUGAGGAUGGGCAUGCGUCCUAUUAGCUUGUUGGUGAGGUAACGGCUCACCAAGGCUGCGAUAGGUAGGGGCCUGAGAGGGUAAUCCCCACACUGGUACUGAGACACGGACCAGACUCCUACGGGAGGCAGCAGUGAGGAAUAUUGGUCAAUGGACGAAAGUCUGAACCAGCCAUGCCGCGUGCAGGAUGACGGCCCUACGGGUUGUAAACUGCUUUUAUAAGGGAACUAAACCCCCGACGUGUCGGGGGCUGAAGGUACCUUACGAAUAAGGAUCGGCUAACUCCGUG